This 496-nucleotide ribosomal RNA is filed under the name uncultured bacterium. RNAcentral describes it as "partial 16S ribosomal RNA". It matches the Rfam family "Bacterial small subunit ribosomal RNA", at positions 29 to 507 of the family's 1533-position model. The record is from RNAcentral.
AUGAACGCUGGCGGCGUGCCUCAUACAUGCAAGUCGAGCGAACGGACGAGAAGCUUGCUUUUCUGAUGUUAGCGGCGGACGGGUGAGUAACACGUGGAUAACCUACCUAUAAGACUGGGAUAACUUCGGGAAACCGGAGCUAAUACCGGAUAAUAUUUUGAACCGCAUGGUUCAAAAGUGAAAGACGGUCUUGCUGUCACUUAUAGAUGGAUCCGCGCUGCAUUAGCUAGUUGGUAAGGUAACGGCUUACCAAGGCAACGAUGCAUAGCCGACCUGAGAGGGUGAUCGGCCACACUGGAACUGAGACACGGUCCAGACUCCUACGGGAGGCAGCAGUAGGGAAUCUUCCGCAAUGGGCGAAAGCCUGACGGAGCAACGCCGCGUGAGUGAUGAAGGUCUUCGGAUCGUAAAACCCUGUUAUUAGGGAAGAACAUAUGUGUAAGUAACUGUGCACAUCUUGACGGUACCUAAUCAGAAAGCCACGGCUAACUACGUG